This 417-nucleotide ribosomal RNA is filed under the name Archisepsis ecalcarata. Its description in RNAcentral is "partial 16S ribosomal RNA". The stretch from base 285 to 417 matches the Rfam family "Bacterial large subunit ribosomal RNA", at positions 2473 to 2606 of the family's 2925-position model. Lineage: Eukaryota; Metazoa; Arthropoda; Insecta; Diptera; Sepsidae. The record is from RNAcentral.
UGAAGGCUGGAAUGAAUGGUUGNNNNNNNNAUUAACUGUUUCAAAUAAAUUUUUUAUAGAAUUUUAUUUUUUAGUUAAAAAGCUAAAAUUUAAUUAAAANANNAGAAGACCCUAUAAAUCUUUACUUAAAAUUAUAUUUUAAUUAUAAAGAUAAAUUUUAUUAUAAUAAAAUUUUAAGUUUUAUUGGGGUGAUAUUAAAAUUUAAUAAACUUUUAAUUUUUUAAAACAUAAAUUAAUGAAUAGUUGAUCCAUUAAUAAUGAUUAAAAAUUUAAGUUACUUUAGGGAUAACAGCGUAAUUUUUUUGGAGAGUUCAUAUCGAUAAAAAAGAUUGCGACCUCGAUGUUGGAUUAAGAAAAAUUUUAGGUGUAGCCGCUUAAAUAUUAAGUCUGUUCGACUUUUAAUUUCUUACAUGAUCU